CCUACGGGAGGCUGCAGUGAGGAAUAUUGGUCAAUGGUCGAGAGACUGAACCAGCCAAGCCGCGUGAGGGAGGAAGGUACAGAGUAUCGUACACCUCUUUUGUCAGGGAACAAAGUCGGGGCCGUGUCCCCGGAUGAGUGUACCUGAAGAACAAGCAUCGGCUAACUCCGCGCCAGCAGCCGCGGUAAUACGGAGGAUGCGAGCGUUAUCCGGAGUUAUUGGGUUUAAAGGGUGCGCAGGCGGUCUGUUAAGUCAGCGGUCAAAGCCCGGGGGUCAACCCCGGCCCGCCGUUGAAACUGGCAGUCUCGAGUGGGAGAGAAGUAUGCGGAAUGCGCGGUGUAGCGGUGAAAUGCAUAGAU
This 359-nucleotide ribosomal RNA is filed under the name uncultured bacterium. RNAcentral's name for it is "partial 16S ribosomal RNA". It matches the Rfam family "Bacterial small subunit ribosomal RNA", at positions 338 to 695 of the family's 1533-position model. The record is from RNAcentral.